GACGAACGCUGGCGGCGUGCCUAAUACAUGCAAGUAGAACGCACAGUUUAUACCGUAGCUUGCUACACCAUAAACUGUGAGUUGCGAACGGGUGAGUAACGCGUAGGUAACCUGCCUGGUAGCGGGGGAUAACUAUUGGAAACGAUAGCUAAUACCGCAUAAUAUUGAUUAUUGCAUGAUAAUUGAUUGAAAGAUGCUAUUGCAUCACUACCAGAUGGACCUGCGUUGUAUUAGCGAGUAGGUGAGGUAACGGCUCACCUAGGCGACGAUACAUAGCCGACCUGCGAGGGUGAUCGGCCACACGGGGACUGAGACACGGCCCAGACUCCGACGGAAGGCAGCAGUAGGGAAUCGUCGGAAAUGGACGAAAGUCUGACCGAGCAACGCCGCGGGAGUGAAGAGGGUUUUCGGAUCGUAAAGCUCUGUUGUAGGAGAAGAACGGGUGUGAGAGUGGAAAGUACACACUGUGACGGGAUCUUACCAGAAAGGGACGGCGAAACACG
RNAcentral lists this ribosomal RNA (503 nucleotides) under uncultured bacterium. RNAcentral describes it as "partial 16S ribosomal RNA". It matches the Rfam family "Bacterial small subunit ribosomal RNA", at positions 28 to 505 of the family's 1533-position model. The record is from RNAcentral.